Long non-coding RNA from Glycine soja, 290 nucleotides. RefSeq lists it as uncharacterized. The transcript is spliced from 2 exons. The record is from RefSeq and is a predicted model, not a curated record. NCBI's taxonomy places the organism in Eukaryota, Viridiplantae, Streptophyta, Magnoliopsida, Fabales, Fabaceae.
GCUGCAGACUGAUGAGGCUUAGGCUGGUUGGAAGACACGCCAACUUGGAACAGAAAAAAAUACUUAAUUCGCAAAGCAAGGGAAGGUUUCCAAAGCAGUCAGAAAGUUCUUUAGAACCAAUGGCUGGCUGCAGGAGAGCUUGAAAUCAGGGUAAAACUAUCUGAGGAUUUGCAUGUAUUCAUCAAGGUGUAUGCUCUGUUCUGAUCAGAUCUGCCUAUAUGUCCUGUUCUUAUUUGUUGGACUUGAUUAAUCACUCUUGUUGUUCAAAAUAAAUGGUUUUGUUUUUGUAA